AGGACGACAUUAGACGAAUCAUCUGGAAAGAUGAAUCAAAGAAGGUAAUAAUCCUGUAGUCGAAAAUGUUGUCUCUCUUGAGUGGAUCCUGAGUACGACGGAGCACGUGAAAUUCCGUCGGAAUCUGGGAGGACCAUCUCCUAAGGCUAAAUACUCUCUAGUGACCGAUAGUGAACCAGUACCGUGAGGGAAAGGUGAAAAGCACCCCGGAAGGGGAGUGAAAUAGAACCUGAAACCGUGUGCUUACAAGUAGUCAGAGCCCGUUAAUGGGUGAUGGCGUGCCUUUUGUAGAAUGAACCGGCGAGUUACGAUUUGAUGCAAGGUUAAGCAGUAAAUGUGGAGCCGUAGCGAAAGCGAGUCUGAAUAGGGCGUUUAGUAUUUGGUCGUAGACCCGAAACCAGGUGAUCUACCCUUGGUCAGGUUGAAGUUCAGGUAACACUGAAUGGAGGACCGAACCGACUUACGUUGAAAAGUGAGCGGAUGAACUGAGGGUAGCGGAGAAAUUCCAAUCGAACCUGGAGAUAGCUGGUUCUCUCCGAAAUAGCUUUAGGGCUAGCCUCAAGUGAUGAUUAUUGGAGGUAGAGCACUGUUUGGACGAGGGGCCCCUCUCGGGUUACCGAAUUCAGACAAACUCCGAAUGCCAAUUAAUUUAACUUGGGAGUCAGAACAUGGGUGAUAAGGUCCGUGUUCGAAAGGGAAACAGCCCAGACCACCAGCUAAGGUCCCAAAAUAUAUGUUAAGUGGAAAAGGAUGUGGCGUUGCCCAGACAACUAGGAUGUUGGCUUAGAAGCAGCCAUCAUUUAAAGAGUGCGUAAUAGCUCACUAGUCGAGUGACACUGCGCCGAAAAUGUACCGGGGCUAAACAUAUUACCGAAGCUGUGGAUUGUCCUUUGGACAAUGGUAGGAGAGCGUUCUAAGGGCGUUGAAGCAUGAUCGUAAGGACAUGUGGAGCGCUUAGAAGUGAGAAUGCCGGUGUGAGUAGCGAAAGACGGGUGAGAAUCCCGUCCACCGAUUGACUAAGGUUUCCAGAGGAAGGCUCGUCCGCUCUGGGUUAGUCGGGUCCUAAGCUGA
RNAcentral lists this ribosomal RNA (1071 nucleotides) under Staphylococcus aureus. RNAcentral's name for it is "partial 23S ribosomal RNA". It matches the Rfam family "Bacterial large subunit ribosomal RNA", at positions 320 to 1399 of the family's 2925-position model. Lineage: Bacteria; Bacillati; Bacillota; Bacilli; Caryophanales; Staphylococcaceae. The record is from RNAcentral.